UACAGAGGUGGCAAGCGUUGCUCGGUAUCACUGGGCUUAAAGGGCGCGUAGGCGGUGCGGUGCGGUUUCGGUGAAAUCCCUCGGCCCAACCGAGGAACAGCCGGGGCUACGGCCGCGCUAGACGGCAUCAGGGGACAGUGGAACUCCCGGUGGAGCGGUGAAAUGCGUAGAUAUCGGGAGGAACGCCGGUGGCGAAAGCGACUGUCUGGGGUGCCUGGUGACGCUGAGGCGCGAAAGCCAG
RNAcentral lists this ribosomal RNA (241 nucleotides) under uncultured bacterium. RNAcentral's name for it is "partial 16S ribosomal RNA". It matches the Rfam family "Bacterial small subunit ribosomal RNA", at positions 524 to 763 of the family's 1533-position model. The record is from RNAcentral.